UACGUAGGUGGCAAGCGUUGUCCGGAUUUACUGGGCGUAAAGAGCGCGCAGGCGGUCGUUCAAGUCGCGUGUGAAAGCCCCCGGCUCAACUGGGGAGGGUCACGCGAUACUGAUCGACUCGAAGGCAGGAGAGGGAAGUGGAAUUCCCGGUGUAGUGGUGAAAUGCGUAGAUAUCGGGAGGAACACCAGUGGCGAAGGCGGCUUCCUGGACCGAUUACUGACGCUGAUGCGCGAAAGCUAGGGGAGCAAACGGG
This 254-nucleotide ribosomal RNA is filed under the name uncultured bacterium. Its description in RNAcentral is "partial 16S ribosomal RNA". It matches the Rfam family "Bacterial small subunit ribosomal RNA", at positions 524 to 776 of the family's 1533-position model. The record is from RNAcentral.